CAGCAGCCGCGGUAAUACGAAGGGUGCAAGCGUUACUCGGAAUUACUGGGCGUAAAGCGUGCGUAGGCGGCUUCUUAAGUCGGAUGUGAAAUCCCUGAGCUUAACUUAGGAAUUGCAUUCGAUACUGGGAAGCUAGAGUAUGGGAGAGGAUGGUAGAAUUCCAGGUGUAGCGGUGAAAUGCGUAGAGAUCUGGAGGAAUACCGAUGGCGAAGGCAGCCAUCUGGCCUAAUACUGACGCUGAGGUACGAAAGCAUGGGGAGCAAACAGGAUUAGAUACCCCCGUAGUCCCUGUCUCUUAUAC
RNAcentral lists this ribosomal RNA (301 nucleotides) under uncultured bacterium. Its description in RNAcentral is "partial 16S ribosomal RNA". It matches the Rfam family "Bacterial small subunit ribosomal RNA", at positions 509 to 807 of the family's 1533-position model. The record is from RNAcentral.